RNAcentral lists this ribosomal RNA (497 nucleotides) under uncultured bacterium. RNAcentral describes it as "partial 16S ribosomal RNA". It matches the Rfam family "Bacterial small subunit ribosomal RNA", at positions 28 to 507 of the family's 1533-position model. The record is from RNAcentral.
GAUGAACGCUGGCGGCGUGCCUAAUACAUGCAAGUCGAGCGAACGGACGAGAAGCUUGCUUCUCUGAUGUUAGCGGCGGACGGGUGAGUAACACGUGGAUAACCUACCUAUAAGACUGGGAUAACUUCGGGAAACCGGAGCUAAUACCGGAUAAUAUUUUGAACCGCAUGGUUCAAAAGUAAAAGACGGUCUUGCUGUCACUUAUAGAUGGAUCCGCGCUGCAUUAGCUAGUUGGUAAGGUAACGGCUUACCAAGGCAACGAUGCAUAGCCGACCUGAGAGGGUGAUCGGCCACACUGGAACUGAGACACGGUCCAGACGCCUACGGGAGGCAGCAGUAGGGAAUCUUCCGCAAUGGGCGAAAGCCUGACGGAGCAACGCCGCGUGAGUGAUGAAGGUCUUCGGAUCGUAAAACUCUGUUAUUAGGGAAGAACAUAUGUGUAAGUAACUGUGCACAUCUUGACGGUACCUAAUCAGAAAGCCACGGCUAACUACGUG